GUGCUCACUUAGCAGCACAUAGACUAAAACUGGAACAAUACAGACAGGGUUAGCAUGACCCCUGUGCAAAGAUGACAUGCAAAUUCGUGAAGCAUUCCAUAUUUUU
Small nuclear RNA from Delphinapterus leucas (beluga whale), 106 nucleotides. Lineage: Eukaryota; Metazoa; Chordata; Mammalia; Artiodactyla; Monodontidae. The record is from Ensembl.